ACAGAGGGUGCGAGCGUUAAUCGGAAUUACUGGGCGUAAAGCGCGCGUAGGCGGCUUUGCAAGUCGGGUGUGAAAUCCCCAAGCUCAACUUGGGAACUGCAUUCGAGACUGCUUUGCUAGAGUAUGGGAGAGGGAAGUGGAAUUUCAGGUGUAGCGGUGAAAUGCGUAGAUAUCUGAAGGAACAUCAGUGGCGAAAGCGACUUCCUGGACCAAUACUGACGCUCAUGUGCGAAAGCGUGGGGAGCAAACAGGAUUAGAUACCCUGGUAGUCCACGCCAUAAACGAUGAGAACUGGAUGUCGGGAGGGUCUGCCUCCCGGUGUCGUAGCUAACGCGUUAAGUUCUCCGCCUGGGGAGUACGGCCGCAAGGUUG
Molecule: ribosomal RNA, 372 nt
Filed under: uncultured bacterium
Lineage: Bacteria
Description: bacterial SSU rRNA
Rfam family: Bacterial small subunit ribosomal RNA
Source: RNAcentral